CUCUCAUGCGACUUAUAAUUCGCGAGUUGCUAUGCAACUUGUAAGUCGCGAGCUGUUGUGCUACUUCUAAGUCGCAUGGCAGCGUGCAAAUUCCAUUGAAAACCCUAAAAAAAUCUGUGAUCUUUAAAACACCUAUCCUUCAUCCCAAUUAUAAAAACCCUACAAUCCCUAACAUAUUUCUCAUCUUUAAACUCCAUAACUCUCUCAAAAACUUGAUAUCUGUUAACUUUUAAAGUUAGAUUGUUAGAAAAAUUUACUUAUCAUCCCUAAAAGAUGGCUCAAGAAAAUUAUGUGAACCCGGGACCCGUGCAUGGUGAUGUUUUAGUGCUACAACGUAAACAUCUUUCGACAAAAAUCUGGGAUAAUGACCUAAUCGAAAGGCAAGCACUUUCAACAGUGCGUCGACAAGACCAUUUAUUAUGGCAGCACUUAAAAAAUAACCCGCUGCAUUAUCGUAUUUUAAAUUUAUUCGAUUUAACAGGAUUUGGAGGUAUUCUACAAGUAGGACACAUUUCACUCGAUAUCACUUUGAUUACUGCUUUGAUUGAAGGGUAGCGCCGAGAAACGCAUACCUUUCAUUUUAGAAAUGGUGAAACAACUAUAACUAUGCGUGAAAUGGAAGUUAUGUUCAGAGUGGUUGUCGAUGGAAUGUCGUUUCUUCUACAAGGUGUACUAAACUUAGAUACGAGAGCUAGACAACAUUUAAUUUAUAAUUUAACUUGUUGGUUUCUCCUGAAAAAUAGUUUUCAAGGGAAUAAUAUUACUACACGAUAUUUAAUUAAUUUUAUAGAAAAUUUAGAUGAAAUAGAUGAUGAUUCCACUAAUUAAGAGGUUCACCAAAGAUUUAGAUUAUACCUAUUUUGGUUGGGUGGGACAUUAUUUCUAGAUUAUUUUAUUGAAAUGGCUGACAUAAAUGCAUUGUCAAGACAAGCUUGGGGAGCUUCCACACUUUCUUAUUUGUAUCAUUAGUUAUGUCGUGCAGCUUUAUGCGACCCAGCAGAUGUAUCCGGUUUUACAACAAUAAUACAGUUUAUUUGGAAGCCAUAUUUUGAAGUUGUUCUUAAUGUGUUGCCCGAACAGUGUUGACGGGGACUUCAUAUGUGGAUGACCAAGGUGUCACUAAUUUUCAGCAUUCAUCGUGAGUGGCACAUGAAUGAUCUUGUGGUCACACAAUUUGGUUUUCCACAACAUAUAACAGAAAAUGUGCCUUAUCAAAUAGAUCAUUAUAAGAUUGAUAAGCGCAUAAAUCUCUUUUGGAACAUAAGAUCCGUGAGAACUCAAGAUACCUUUCAUAGAGUUCAAAUGUUACACAAACAUCAUAAGUUUUUCCUUAUAUAUUUGAUGGAACCAUUUCAAGACAUAAGGAAAAUUCAGAAGUUCAAAAGGAGACUAGGAAUGAAAUAUGUAAAUUAUUAUUGUAAUGGUCAGAUAUGGGUAUUUAUUAAAGAGAAUAUUCAAGUUGGCGUGAUCUCAGAUACUGAUCAACAAAUUACACUGCAACUCACUUUAGAGGAUGGAAAACAAUUGAUGGCAACUAUGGUAUAUGCCAAGUGUUCUACUGAUGAGAGAUUAGAACUCUGGAAUAAUUUAUAUUCCACCAGUGAUAAUUUUUCAGAACCUUGGAUUGUGGGGGAAAUUUCAAUGUUAUUCUUGGAGAAGAUGAAAAGAUUGGAGGUCUACCAGUCUAUUUGAUAUAACUCUAGUAUGAGGAUUUUGCAUUUUGUUAUAACUCUUGUAAUCUAUUUGAUAUUAGCUUCACUACCAUUUACUAAGUGGAAUGGAAGGGGUGGCUCAAAUUGUAUCUUUACAAGGCUAGAUAGGGUAAUGAUUAAUCAGGAGCUUCUUGGAAAUAUAGAUUUAUACAACCUAACAGGGACUGGAUCAAAUCAUGCACUAUUACUAUUAACUUGUGGAGGUCAAGCUGAUCAAAACUUUAUAAAGCCUUUCAGGUUCUUGAAAUUCUGGGCAGGCAGGGAUGACUUUAAAGAGGUGGUGAAAGACUAUUGGAAGGGUGAAUAUUUUGAUGAUGUGUUUGUACAAUGGAAACUAAAAUAGAAAAAGACAAAAUGAGGACAGGCCAAAUGGAGCAGGGAUACUUUUUGUGAUAUAUUUAAGCAGCUGCACAUCAGAGAGGAGAUUGUUAAGCUGGAGGAAGGAGUGUUUUAACAGGAUCCUUCUAUAUACAAUAGAAGUAUCCUGCAACAGGUUGAUGCUGAAUACAAACUCUAUCUUCACUAUGAGGAGGAGUUUUGGAGGCAAAAGGCAAGUAUCUAGUGCUUUUCAGAGGGAAAUAGAAAUACUAAAUUUUUUCAUGGAUUGGUAAGAGUAGGAGGAGGAGACUAAUGCUGAACAGGAUUAUAAAGGAAGAUGGUCAGUGCAUUGAAGGGGAUGAUGAGACAGUAUCUGAAGCUCUAAACUUUUACCAGAAAUAAUUCUCAGAAGAUAUUUCAAAUAGGGACACUAAUUUACUACAGAAUAUCCAAAACAUGGUGACUGCAGAAGACAAUGAGAGGUUGACUGCUAGCGCUGAUGUGAAUGAGAUCAAAAAGUGGUAUUUUAACUUAAUGGGGAUUGUUCUUGUGGCCCUAAUGGAUUAGCAGGACAAUUCUUUCAGACUUUUUGGGAAAUUGCGGGAGCUGAUAUUGUUGGGAUUAUUCAAGCCUUCUUUUUGAGAAACUCUCUCCCAAAAUCUAUUA
Molecule: long non-coding RNA, 2696 nt
Organism: Solanum dulcamara
Lineage: Eukaryota; Viridiplantae; Streptophyta; Magnoliopsida; Solanales; Solanaceae
Exons: 3
Source: RefSeq, a predicted model, not a curated record